GAUGAACGCUGGCGGCGUGCCUAAUACAUGCAAGUCGAGCGAACGGACGAGAAGCUUGCUUCUCUGAUGUUAGCGGCGGACGGGUGAGUAACACGUGGAUAACCUACCUAUAAGACUGGGAUAACUUCGGGAAACCGGAGCUAAUACCGGAUAAUAUUUUGAACCGCAUGGUUCAAAAGUGAAAGACGGUCUUGCUGUCACUUAUAGAUGGAUCCGCGCUGCAUUAGCUAGUUGGUAAGGUAACGGCUUACCAAGGCAACGAUGCAUAGCCGACGUGAGAGGGUGAUCGGCCACACUGGAACUGGGACACGGUCCAGACUCCUACGAGAGGCAGCAGUAGGGAAUCUGCCGCAAUGGGCGAAAGCCUGACGGAGCAACGCCGCGUCAGUGAUGAAGGUCUUCGGAUCGUAAAACUCUGUUAUUAGGGAAGAACAUAUGUGUAAGUAACUGUGCACAUCUUGACGGUACCUAAUCAGAAAGCCACGGCUAACUACGUG
This 497-nucleotide ribosomal RNA is filed under the name uncultured bacterium. Its description in RNAcentral is "partial 16S ribosomal RNA". It matches the Rfam family "Bacterial small subunit ribosomal RNA", at positions 28 to 507 of the family's 1533-position model. The record is from RNAcentral.